Molecule: ribosomal RNA, 290 nt
Filed under: uncultured bacterium
Lineage: Bacteria
Description: partial 16S ribosomal RNA
Rfam family: Bacterial small subunit ribosomal RNA
Source: RNAcentral
GUGCCUAACACAUGCAAGUCGAGCGGUAACAGGUGUAGCAAUACAUGCUGACGAGCGGCGAACGGGUGAGUAAUGCUUCGGAAUCUGCCCAAUGGUGGGGAAUAACCAGCCGAAAGGUUGGCUAAUACCGCAUAAGUCCUACGGGGGAAAGCAGGGGAUCGUAAGACCUUGCGCCGAUGGAUGAGCCGAAGUCGGAUUAGCUAGUUGGUAGGGUAACGGCCUACCAAGGCGACGAUCCGUAGCUGGUCUGAGAGGACGACCAGCCACACUGGGACUGAGACACGGCCCAG